UGGGUUAUGGCUAAGUGGUACAGCACUUGCCUAGCAUGUGUGAGGCACUGAGUUCAAUUCUCAGCUCCCCAU
This is a non-coding RNA of Ictidomys tridecemlineatus (thirteen-lined ground squirrel), 72 nucleotides long. NCBI's taxonomy places the organism in Eukaryota, Metazoa, Chordata, Mammalia, Rodentia, Sciuridae. The record is from Rfam.